RNAcentral lists this ribosomal RNA (271 nucleotides) under uncultured bacterium. RNAcentral's name for it is "partial 16S ribosomal RNA". It matches the Rfam family "Bacterial small subunit ribosomal RNA", at positions 64 to 339 of the family's 1533-position model. The record is from RNAcentral.
GAACGGUAACAGGUCUUCGGAUGCUGACGAGUGGCGAACGGGUGAGUAAUAUAUCGGAACGUGCCUAGUCGUGGGGGAUAACGCAGCGAAAGCUGUGCUAAUACCGCAUACGCCUUACGGGGGAAAGCGGGGGACCUUCGGGCCUCGCGCGAUUGGAGCGGCCGAUAUCAGAUUAGGUUGUUGGUGAGGUAAAAGCUCACCAAGCCGACGAUCUGUAGCUGGUCUGAGAGGACGACCAGCCACACUGGAACUGAGACACGGACCAGACUCC